Molecule: long non-coding RNA, 1448 nt
Organism: Mesocricetus auratus (golden hamster)
Lineage: Eukaryota; Metazoa; Chordata; Mammalia; Rodentia; Cricetidae
Exons: 2
Source: RefSeq, a predicted model, not a curated record
GCCUGGCAAGGCAGCUCUCCCUCACUGCUGGCACUCAUGGACAGCCCUGCAGGGCGGCUGGGUCCGAGCGGAAGGAGGAGGCAGGGUUAGAUGAACAACAGCACACGGGGGCAGGGAUGCUCCCCUGCUAACGGCUCUUUCCUCUCCACUUCACUAGGAAGCCUCCCCAGAGGCAGUUCCCAAGGGUCUCACCUCCCCUUUGACCUUGGCCUAGACUGGGAACGGCAUGCUCCCACAGAGUCUGCUGUAGACUGCCGCUGAUGCCCCCAAGCUGCACGGCAGCCCAUGAGUGUAAGCGCUAACCAGCCCAUAGCUAAGGCAGCAUGGUGAGGAGCGAAGCUACCCCUGUGAAGGGUGGUUCAAGAUGGGGGCACUCUUUGGUACAGGAGCUCCGUGACCUUGGCAAAGGCUUGGCCUGCCUGAACCUGGGGUGCUGUGGGCACUCUCUCUUAGCACUGCUGCAGGAUGACAAGACAUUAGCCACCAAAGGGACCUGGCAACUCAGAUGCUCUCUCCUACCACAGAUAUGUGCUUGCCUCCCAGUCUCCACGCUGGCCCACCCAGCCAGGACUCCAUUUGCACAAGCUGGCGCUGCUCUGCAGUCUGCCCUGCUACCUUCUCCUCAUCCACCCAUCUGCAGAGACCAGACGGCCAGACCAGCCGCCGCACCACCACCUAAUCCCAGCUUUUGAAGGCAGCCAGGCAGCGACGGCUGGGUGUUCCCAUCUACUUGUACCAGGCCAGGCUGGGUAGAGAAAAUGCCUGUGUGUAAACACAGCCUUCUGCUUCGACGGCUUCUGCUUGGACUCCCCUGACCAACAGGGCCCUCUGUGACUUUUAUCUCCCUGCCCAAAAUAACCAUUGGCUUCUGUGGUUCUCUGGGCAUGGAUCAGACUGGUGAGAGACUCAAGCAGCUUGAGGAUAGGAAAGACACAUUUCAUCUUUGCUUUCCCAGUGCACCAGUGCAAAAGUCUGUGGCAUUUAUCAGAUCCUCUGUCUACUUGGAAGGGACCUAUGAUGCGAAGUGAGAGCUUGCUAUAGGAAAUGGUCACAUGAUCUCAAAGUUAACAGCUCAGUAGAAAAUAAAAUAGGGACACCAGCCAAUUGCAGCAGAAUACAGAAACUAGGAAAGGUACAAAGCAAAGGAUGAUGUUUGGGGAAGCUUGGAGGGGAAAGCAAUUGGAGAAAAGCAGAUGUCAAAGGCUUUAAGGAAAAGGUGGACUAAAAGCUAGCAUGAAAACAGGACAGCGAGAAAGGACAAGGUAGGUGCAGGAAACUGGGCACAUGUGGCUUGGCACUUGGGAUGCUGAGCAUUGACGCAGGGACUAGAAAGGCAGAUGGUGCCAAUCAGAGCCUUGAAUGACAUUCCAAGUGGUUUCCUGCCCUGUCUAGCAACUAGCCACGUGUGAUCUGUGUGAAAAUGAAACAAAAUGUAAAAUUCACAGUCA